This 273-nucleotide long non-coding RNA is filed under the name Pelobates cultripes (western spadefoot toad). The record is from RNAcentral. Lineage: Eukaryota; Metazoa; Chordata; Amphibia; Anura; Pelobatidae.
CCAUGCUUUUGCCAUAGGCCCAAGAUCAUUCCAUGAUAUUGUUUUCAACUUGGUCACAGGGACAUGUGGAAUGGCAGUGUCCCAAUGACGGUACAAAUGCUUGAGUUCCGGAGGUAGAUGAAUCAAGACCAUACAGUUGCCUUCAGAAUCACAGUAGAAGUCUUGUGCAGUGAGUUUUACUUCGACCAGAUGAUAGAGUUCAUCUUCAUAGCAGGGUUCAGGAGUGAUGUUUGGUUUGUACCACAUGGUACAGAAGGCAUAUCCUGCUCCGUC